RNAcentral lists this ribosomal RNA (1361 nucleotides) under uncultured bacterium. RNAcentral's name for it is "bacterial SSU rRNA". It matches the Rfam family "Bacterial small subunit ribosomal RNA", at positions 28 to 1381 of the family's 1533-position model. The record is from RNAcentral.
AUUGAACGCUGGCGGCAGGCCUAACACAUGCAAGUCGAGCGGUAACACAGAGAGCUUGCUCUCGGGUGACGAGCGGCGGACGGGUGAGUAAUGUCUGGGAAACUGCCUGAUGGAGGGGGAUAACUACUGGAAACGGUAGCUAAUACCGCAUAACGUCGCAAGACCAAAGUGGGGGACCUUCGGGCCUCAUGCCAUCAGAUGUGCCCAGAUGGGAUUAGCUAGUAGGUGGGGUAAUGGCUCACCUAGGCGACGAUCCCUAGCUGGUCUGAGAGGAUGACCAGCCACACUGGAACUGAGACACGGUCCAGACUCCUACGGGAGGCAGCAGUGGGGAAUAUUGCACAAUGGGCGCAAGCCUGAUGCAGCCAUGCCGCGUGUAUGAAGAAGGCCUUCGGGUUGUAAAGUACUUUCAGCGAGGAGGAAGGCGUUAAGGUUAAUAACCUUGGCGAUUGACGUUACUCGCAGAAGAAGCACCGGCUAACUCCGUGCCAGCAGCCGCGGUAAUACGGAGGGUGCAAGCGUUAAUCGGAAUUACUGGGCGUAAAGCGCACGCAGGCGGUCUGUCAAGUCGGAUGUGAAAUCCCCGGGCUCAACCUGGGAACUGCAUUCGAAACUGGCAGGCUAGAGUCUUGUAGAGGGGGGUAGAAUUCCAGGUGUAGCGGUGAAAUGCGUAGAGAUCUGGAGGAAUACCGGUGGCGAAGGCGGCCCCCUGGACAAAGACUGACGCUCAGGUGCGAAAGCGUGGGGAGCAAACAGGAUUAGAUACCCUGGUAGUCCACGCCGUAAACGAUGUCGACUUGGAGGUUGUGCCCUUGAGGCGUGGCUUCCGGAGCUAACGCGCUAAGUCGACCGCCUGGGGAGUGCGGCCGCAAGGUUAAAACUCAAAUGAAUUGACGGGGGCCCGCACAAGCGGUGGAGCAUGUGGUUUAAUUCGAUGCAACGCGAAGAACCUUACCUACUCUUGACAUCCAGAGAACUUAGCAGAGAUGCUUUGGUGCCUUCGGGAACUCUGAGACAGGUGCUGCAUGGCUGUCGUCAGCUCGUGUUGUGAAAUGUUGGGUUAAGUCCCGCAACGAGCGCAACCCUUAUCCUUUGUUGCCAGCGGUCCGGCCGGGAACUCAAAGGAGACUGCCAGUGAUAAACUGGAGGAAGGUGGGGAUGACGUCAAGUCAUCAUGGCCCUUACGAGUAGGGCUACACACGUGCUACAAUGGCAUAUACAAAGAGAAGCGACCUCGCGAGAGCAAGCGGACCUCAUAAAGUAUGUCGUAGUCCGGAUUGGAGUCUGCAACUCGACUCCAUGAAGUCGGAAUCGCUAGUAAUCGUAGAUCAGAAUGCUACGGUGAAUACGUUCCCGGGCCU